Molecule: transfer RNA, 75 nt
Filed under: Pseudanthias dispar (peach fairy basslet)
Lineage: Eukaryota; Metazoa; Chordata; Actinopteri; Perciformes; Anthiadidae
Also listed under: 1 other name
Description: tRNA-Val
Rfam family: tRNA
About the family: Transfer RNA (tRNA) molecules are approximately 80 nucleotides in length.
Source: RNAcentral
CAGUGUAUAGCUAAACUGAAGAUAAAGCAUCUCACUUACACCGAGAAGGUAUCCGAGCAACCCGGAUUACACUGA